Molecule: long non-coding RNA, 1690 nt
Organism: Pangasianodon hypophthalmus (striped catfish)
Lineage: Eukaryota; Metazoa; Chordata; Actinopteri; Siluriformes; Pangasiidae
Exons: 3
Source: RefSeq, a predicted model, not a curated record
CUCGAAAUGUCUGGUUAGUGCUAGUUUUUUAAGCUCACAGCAGUUCUAGAAUUAAAAAAAAAAAUCUACAGCCUAUCAUUAUCUAAAACAAAAUACAAAGAUAUUUCUGAUGCAGCUAGCUUCAGCCUGGUUUCCUGAUGUGGCAAGGGAAAAAAAAAAAAGCAUCACUUUAAAUGCACUCAAAUUUCUGAUGAAAAUUUGCAAAACCUCAAACCCAUUUCUGUUUUGCAGGACCGAAUAGGGCUUUUGACUACUGCUCUACUUAGUGUAAUUAUCAGUCUAGUGAAGGAGGAAAUUAGUGUGAGGCAGUUAAAGGAUGUCUGGAAUGUGAAUGAGGAUACUAUGUUUAUUUAAAAAAAAAAAUAAAUAAAUAAAUAAAUAAAGGUCAGCAACCUGGAAAUGGAAAUGGAAACCUUCUCACACAUGGUGUUAUUUUGGCUUGAACUGAACUGAACCGGGACUUCAGACCUUUUAAGAGUAGACAUUUAUUUCAGAUAAAGGAAGUCAGGGUUCAUCUGAUCUGACUGUAUGACUCUGUAGUUAUGUUCAGUUGAUGUGAAUUUGCUUUUCACGCCCUCUUUUCUGCUGUCUUUGAGCAUGUGUGAACAGGCUUUCUGAACACAAACUCCUACACACGCCCCAAUUCUUUUUCUCACACCUCACCAUCCCAAACGUCCCAUGGAAAAUCAGACUUAAUAUUCAGCUCAGAUGCAUUUUUAGCUCUUUUUUUUUCCUUUCCCUCCCUGUUGCCAAAACCAGAACCGCCCAAAACAGUGUGCAGCUGCUUGUGUUUCCUCUAAACACUCAUUUAGCUACAUAGGCAACACGUACCACUAUUAAAGACUAGUUGUUGGCACUUUUCCCAGUAACUAGCGUCUUUUUUUUAAUCUACUUCAAGUAUUUUUACUUGAAGGAGAAGUAGUAGUCCUUCCAUGGCGUGUUGUUUAGAGAGUUGUCGAGGCGUUAACCGCGUUAUGGGCUAAACUCCAUUCACACAAGCAGGAAGAUUUGAAUCUGCGGCGAGUCUGACGCUCUGGAGAAGUGGGCGUGGCCAGCCGCGCCGGACAGACUCAACGCAGGCUCCACUCCAUGAAUGAGUCAAGUCCACGACGAGCCGAAGGGGGAAAGAAACAAAUUCAAACUAAAAGAAAAGAGGAAGAGGCUGCUCGAUUACUGGCGCAGGAACAGUUUUGUGCAAAGCUCAUACGUAAGUCUCAAGUUAGUCAUUGUAACCGAUGGUCACAAUCCGAGGGCUCAGUACUCCACUAGAAUAAUCGUCUUCAACUGUCCAGUUUGGGUGAGCCUGUGCCCAUGGAAAGCCUCAGAUUCCUGUUCUUGGCUCGGAGUGGAACCUUAUGUGGUCUUCUGCUUUUGUAGCCCAUCCACCUCAAGGUCACCAGAGAAAGACCCAAUCAGCCACAGCUGCCUAACAAAUCUGAGGACCAGGUCAUCUCAGGUAUCCAUGUUUUGGAUCCCUAUGCUGCAUCUAUUUUUUGAUGUCUAUCUAUACCUAUAUCUAUAGCUAUCUAUGUCUAAAUGUAUGCAUAAAAGUGUGUAUUUGAGCAACAGAUAAUCAAGAAGGUGAAUAUAAUGAGUGGAUGUGAAACACUGAUAACCCUGAUACCACAUAACUGAAGUUGAGUAAUGUAAGAAGCUAAUUGGUUGCAAUAAAUAUUACCCUGAAAAAAAA